GUGAGUAAUGUCUGGGAAACUGCCUGAUGGAGGGGGAUAACUACAGGAAACGGUAGCUAAUACCGCAUAACGUCGCAAGACCAAAGAGGGGGACCUUCGGGCCUCUUGCCAUCAGAUGUGCCCAGAUGGGAUUAGCUAGUAGGUGGGGUAACGGCUCACCUAGGCGACGAUCCCUAGCUGGUCUGAGAGGAUGACCAGCCACACUGGAACUGAGACACGGUCCAGACUCCUACGGGAGGCAGCAGUGGGGAAUAUUGCACAAUGGGCGCAAGCCUGAUGCAGCCAUGCCGCGUGUAUGAAGAAGGCCUUCGGGUUGUAAAGUACUUUCAGCGGGGAGGAAGGUGUUGUGGUUAAUAACCGCAGCAAUUGACGUUACCCGCAGAAGAAGCACCGGCUAACUCCGUGCCAGCAGCCGCGGUAAUACGGAGGGUGCAAGCGUUAAUCGGAAUUACUGGGCGUAAAGCGCACGCAGGCGGUCUGUCAAGUCGGAUGUGAAAUCCCCGGGCUCAACCUGGGAACUGCAUUCGAAACUGGCAGGCUAGAGUCUUGUAGAGGGGGGUAGAAUUCCAGGUGUAGCGGUGAAAUGCGUAGAGAUCUGGAGGAAUACCGGUGGCGAAGGCGGCCCCCUGGACAAAGACUGACGCUCAGGUGCGAGAGCGUGGGGGAGCAAACAGGAUUAGAUACCCUGGUAGUCCACGCCGUAAACGAUGUCG
This 713-nucleotide ribosomal RNA is filed under the name Pantoea sp. Its description in RNAcentral is "bacterial SSU rRNA". It matches the Rfam family "Bacterial small subunit ribosomal RNA", at positions 106 to 814 of the family's 1533-position model. Lineage: Bacteria; Pseudomonadati; Pseudomonadota; Gammaproteobacteria; Enterobacterales; Erwiniaceae. The record is from RNAcentral.